RNAcentral lists this ribosomal RNA (425 nucleotides) under uncultured bacterium. Its description in RNAcentral is "bacterial SSU rRNA". It matches the Rfam family "Bacterial small subunit ribosomal RNA", at positions 356 to 773 of the family's 1533-position model. The record is from RNAcentral.
GGGGAAUUUUGGACAAUGGGCGCAAGCCUGAUCCAGCCAUGCCGCGUGAGUGAAGAAGGCCUUCGGGUUGUAAAGCUCUUUCGGACGGAAAGAAAUCGUGCAGGCUAAUACCCUGCGCGGAUGACGGUACCGUCAUAAGAAGCACCGGCUAACUACGUGCCAGCAGCCGCGGUAAUACGUAGGGUGCGAGCGUUAAUCGGAAUUACUGGGCGUAAAGCGUGCGCAGGCGGUUGAUUAAGACAGGCGUGAAAUCCCCGGGCUUAACCUGGGAACUGCGCUUAUGACUGGUCAGCUAGAGUACGGCAGAGGGGGGUGGAAUUCCACGUGUAGCAGUGAAAUGCGUAGAGAUGUGGAGGAACACCGAUGGCGAAGGCAGCCCCCUGGGCCGAUACUGACGCUCAUGCACGAAAGCGUGGGUAGCAAAC